Molecule: long non-coding RNA, 4302 nt
Filed under: Sus scrofa (pig)
Lineage: Eukaryota; Metazoa; Chordata; Mammalia; Artiodactyla; Suidae
Description: lncRNA (ENSSSCG00055000663.1)
Source: RNAcentral
UAUGCCUUCAUCUUCAUUUCCUAGCACAUGGUUAGCAUAAGUGGUCAUUCAAUCCAAGGUUAGGGAAUGUCUGCAAAGAUGAAGAGAGAAUUUGCUCCUAUUUCUUUGAGGUGAUGCUAAUGCAAAUGGCUUGAUUAGGGAGAAUUUCCUUGCCUAUUUAACAACCUAACAGAAUCCUGCAGCAUAUGCUAGCACACUAGUUCAAAAAAAUCUGCCAAGAUGAUCCUCACAGCACCUCAUCAUUUGCAACCGCUGAUUCAGAGAUCUGAAGCGAUUGUUGUGGCUUCAUUUAAACCCACUGUCAAUGAAAUCUUAAAUACAUCCUUUGAAUUUAGGACUUUCUUGCAGCCAGCCACUCUAAUCAUAGAAGUGGUCAUUUGUACUGGAGUGUCAUCAACGCUGUAUUGUUGGAGUAGUACAUUUUAUUCAGCGUUACAGAGUUGAGGGGAGUGAGCAGAAUGCAUCUUUUGUCACACUGCUGCCCUCAAUAGAUAUUCCCCCUGAAAAGAAUACAGUCAAAAGAGUCAUGGAUUCAUGAAACUAUUGAUCCUUAAAUGUAAGACUCCUGUUUCUGUUUCCCACUCUCCUACCCUCAUGAAUUUCCCAAGGUCCUCUGGGUCCUUUUCAUGGGAAGAUAUUUGAACAAAGGCAGUUUUGUCAUGAUUAGAUCCUCCACACAGAACACCUGAAAGGUCAUUCAGUCUUUUAUCUCUGAAGCAACUAACCUUCUUUGGAAGUAAAUGAAAUAUGUCUCUUUGCUGCAGAUUGGUUUCAAAAAUAGGAAAAGAUAGAACAAUAGGUACAUUAUGCAGAGUGUUUUUGAAAGAAAACUUUUAUAAAUUGGUAAUUUAGAAAAUCAGUAGGCUGCCGACGAGACACAGCAUCCUCUGUUGAGCUUUUCGCUACAGCAGAAGAGUCAUUUGAGUACACUCUUUAAUCAAACUUUUUUUACAAUUUAUACCAGGUCUAUGCAGAAUUGAGUACUUGAGCUGAGUGAUAUAUUCUAAUGCCUUCUAUUUCCAUGAAAUCUAAGAUGCUACUUUAUCAAACUCAUUUUUCACAGGAGGGAGUUUAAGCAGAGAGAGAGGUUAAGCAGUACAACCAAGGUCAUGCUGAAAGUGAACAUUAGAAAUAGAUGUUCUCAUCCUUCCUUUUGGACUCACUGCUCCUGUUGCUUACAAAGAAUGAUAUGACUGAUAUCAUUUUCACCAAGCUAUCCCCAUAACUUGCUGUACCUGUUAACAACCACACUUAUUUUCACUAGGUACUCAGCAACAUGGCCUUAGUCUUAGAAAAAGCAGGACUCUUUCCCAGCACUAGGGGAUGAAUCCCAGUUGAUCAGAAUAUCAACACUGAUAUUAUUAAAACUGAUCCUUUUAGUCCCUAAAUGCUAACGGUUGCUCUAGGGGUAAACAUGUAACCCCUUCCAGAAGAUGAGAAUUGAAUGUAAAUGAAUUAGAAGGCUUCUCUUCCUGAAGUAAACUAUGGGGUUCUUAAAUCUACUUUGUGUGAUUGUAUGAGGAUGCUUAGAGCUAUAAUAACCAUCCUUGCCUAUGAGGUAGCCAAGAGAGACACGAAAAUGGCUUGGGGUUCUCAAGUAUAUUUAUGAGCUAAUAUAACAAAUUUGGAACCACCUACAUCCAGAUUUCUUGUUAAAUAAGUUAAUUAAAAGUCUUUAUAGCUGACACCACUAUAUUCCUUUAUAUGCAGUUGAAAGCAGUUCUAGCAGUUGGGGUCAGAAUCACAGGUAAAAUGCCUUUCAUGCUUACAUUGAAACCUAGACCUAGAGGGGCAUGGUGUAACUAAGACUUGAAUGAAAAGAGAGGGUCUUUAAGUCCUUAUAAUGAAGGGCAAAUAAUGUAAAGAGCUGAUGUCCUCCUUCAGUCACAACUAAGAACAAUUUUGAGCAGAAGUGCAGUAGAUUUUGUACUGAUUCAGGCUAGCUGGAGGUCCACAAUAAGAUCAGACUAGGGAAACAGUCAUAAAUAGCACAGGCCAUAAAGAUAUUAGAAGGCAACUUCUAGAGUUCCUGUGGUGGCACAGUGGAGACGAAUCCGACUAGGAACCAUGAGGUUGCAGGUUCCAUCCCUGGCCUCGCUCAGUGGGUUAGGGAUCUGGCAUUGCCGUGAGAUGUGGUAUAAGUUGCAGAUGCAGCUCGGAUCCGGCAUUGCUGUGGCUGUGGCAUAGGCUGGCAGCUGUAGCUCCGAUUAGACCCCAAGCCUGGGAACCUCCAUAUGCCCCAGAUGCGGCCUUUGCAAGACACACACACACACACACACACACACACAAAGUCAACUUCUUCCAAUAAUUUGGCAUGAGCUAAAGCAAGUGGAAAUAAUACCAAAAUCUAGCCCAGAAAGCCUGGUUAUGAACUAAAAUCGGCAACCUGCCCCAUCUGGUAAAAUCUGACUUGCUCCUGGUUUUUGUAAAUAAAGUUUUAUUAGAACACACACAGAGCCACCUGUUUAUGCAGUAUACAUUUCAAUGGCAGAAUUGAGUAGUUGAAAUGGAGACCAUAUGACCCACAGAGACUACCAUAUUUACUAUCUGGCUCCUUAUAGACAAAGUUUCUCAAACCCUGGGGUUGAGUGUCCUUUGAGGAUUUCAUAGUCUGGGGACAUAGAAAGUCCAUGGGUAAUGUAAUAAAUGGAAAAUGGGGGCGGGAGGACUGAGAAAAUGAAGCUUCCCCUUAGAGGUAUCUGAAUGGGGAAAAAGAAAGAGCUACUACCCCACGACAUCACAAAAAUGCUUUGCAUCGGUGCCAGUGACUAACACUGCAGUAAACGCUGUGUUUGCAUAACUGAAUAGCCCUGCUAGUAUUUUAUGAAAGGGAUUUUUGAUAUGCUGAGCAUCUGACUACUCAUUGGCUCUGGUAUUUAGGCAAGUAGCCUAAACAAGUGAGUGCACAUGCAGAGCAGCUCAAGAUGAGACUGUAGAUAGAUGGGGCGGUGUGGGCUUUGGGUACUGAGAUAGAGGAACGGGAGAGAGUAGUGCUGACAUACAAAGCUUUAGCUUUCUAUUUCAUCUCAUAGAUUGCUUUUGGCCCCAGGCCUGACUGAUGUUUUACCAUUACCCAUCAAUAUGAUUACACAUGCUUUGGAUCCAAAAGUGCAUUCUCCAAACUAAGCAUCAUCAAAAAUGCAACAAAGGAGGAGAUGGCUCAUGACAAUUCAAAUGCCUCUGCAUAGAAAGAAAAAUAAACAUUUCGUUUUCCUAAAACUUGCUCUGAAAGCUGAAAUUCACAUAAUGAAUUCAUAAAGAGACUCUGCCAUGAUAGGAAUAAUUUGGCCCUAAAAUAAGAGCUGCUUUUAUUCAUGUAAUAAAUGCUUGGCAGUAUUGAAGGUGUUCUCCUCCUUCUUUCUGCCCAUGUUUACAAUGUUGCCAAGAAGUAGAAAGCUUAAAGGGGGCCUUGGGGCUGAAAUUUUACCCUAAAAUGUUUGACCAGGAGACAACAUCAUGACCAGUGUCAGAACCAUGUCUCUUCAUGAGUAACCACAGGAAUAGAAUCCUUACCUGCACAUACUUGCACCAUCACUUAAAUCCAAUAAUUGAAACACGGAGUUAAAAACAAAAAACAAAAAACAGGGAGUUCCCCUGGUGGCUCAACGAACAAAUCCAACUAAUAUCCAUGAGGAUGCAGGUUUGAUCUCUGGCCUAGCUCAGUUGGGUUAAGGUUUGGUGUUGCUAUGAGCUGUGAUGUAGGUUGCAGAUACAGCUCAGAUCCCAAGCUGUUGUGGCCAUGGCUUGGCCGGCACCUGUAGCUCUGAUUCAACCCCUAGCCUGGGAACUUCCAUAUGCUGCGGGUACAGUCCUAAAAAAAAAAAAAAAAAAGAAAAGAAAAGCCAGAACCCAAUAAAAGCUUUAGGUUUAGGGUGAAUUUUUUCAAAUACAAGGUGAUUUUUACAAAAAUGCUUUUGUAUAUCCCUCUACAUGGACUUCCUUCUUCUCCCGUGGUCUGGAUAAUGGCCACCGACCUUACUUACAGUUCAAGUGUCAUGUCCUUAUGUAAGACUUUUCCCCCCAUCUCUCCUAGUCCCAAUUAAUGCCACACUCUUAUAUUUGCUCAGUGCCCUCUCCAUGGUACAACUAUGUAUUUAAAAAGCUGGUUAAUAUUUUUGUCUCUCCUGAGAUGAAGGGACAUUUUUUUUUUUUUCAUAUCUCUAUCCCCAUUGUCCAUUGCAAUGCCUGGAGCUGUCUGCUGAAGAACUUUAUACAGAACACCGAAGGAAUAGCAUGAUAACUUAUUUUCCUCCAUCCAAGACUAAUCUUUCUUUCUCUGAAAUGAAAAGUGAUUAUUGACCC